AACGAACGCUGGCGGCAUGCCUAACACAUGCAAGUCGAACGAAGGCUUCGGCCUUAGUGGCGCACGGGUGCGUAACGCGUGGGAAUCUGCCCUGUGGUUCGGAAGAACAGCUGGGAACGGCUGCUGAUACCGGCUGAUGACGAAAGUCCAAAGAUUUAGCGCCAGAGGAUGAGCCCGCGUUGGCUUAGGUAGUUGGUGGGGUAAAUGCCUACCAAGCCGACGAGCCAUAGCUGGUCUGAGAGGAUGAGCAGCCACACUGGGACUGAGAAACGGCCCAGACUACUACGGGAGGCAGGAGUGGGGGAUAUUGGACAGUGGGCGCAGGCCAGAUGCUGCUAUGCCGCGUGAGUGAUGAAGGCUGUAGGGUUGUAAAGCUCUUUUACCCGGGAAGAUAAUGACUGUACCGGGAGAAUAAGCACCGGCUAACUCCGUG
This 433-nucleotide ribosomal RNA is filed under the name uncultured bacterium. RNAcentral describes it as "partial 16S ribosomal RNA". It matches the Rfam family "Bacterial small subunit ribosomal RNA", at positions 29 to 507 of the family's 1533-position model. The record is from RNAcentral.